Long non-coding RNA from Mesocricetus auratus (golden hamster), 409 nucleotides. RefSeq lists it as uncharacterized. The record is from RefSeq and is a predicted model, not a curated record. Lineage: Eukaryota; Metazoa; Chordata; Mammalia; Rodentia; Cricetidae. The transcript is spliced from 2 exons.
CGAGUUCCAGGACAGCCUCUAAAGCCACAGAGAAACCCUCUCUCGAAAAAAAACCAAAAAAAGGGGGGUGCUAGGAAUCUUGGGGCGAUAACAGUUUAAUGACUUACUUUGUUUUAUUUUUUAUUUUAUGUGCAUUGGUGUUACACCUGCAUGUGUGUCUGUGUGAAGGCAUUGGAUCCCCUGGAACUGGAGUUACAGACAGUUGUAAGCUGCCAUGUAGAUUCUGGGAAUUGAAAUGGGGUCCUCUGGAAAAGCAGUCAGUGCUCUUGACUGCUGAACCAUCUUUCCUGCCUGACAACAAUAUAAAGAUCUUUGCCCUGGUGAACGUGAUACUAGAGCAGCAGUGGUCAUACUUCCUACUGUCAUUAUUAUUUUAAUAAUUGUUAUUAUAUUAAAACAAAAUAUCCUA